UACGGGGGGGGCAAGCGUUGUUCGGAAUUACUGGGCGUAAAGGGUGCGUAGGCGGCUUUCUAAGUUGGAUGUGAAAACUAUGGGCUCAACCCAUAGCCUGCAUCCAAAACUGGAGAGCUUGGGUUCUGGAGGGGAAAGCGGAAUUCCUGGUGUAGCGGUGAAAUGCGUAGAUAUCAGGAGGAACACCGGUGGCGAAGGCGGCUUUCUGGACAGAUACCGACGCUGAGGCACGAAAGCUAGGGGAGCGAACAGG
This 253-nucleotide ribosomal RNA is filed under the name uncultured bacterium. RNAcentral describes it as "partial 16S ribosomal RNA". It matches the Rfam family "Bacterial small subunit ribosomal RNA", at positions 524 to 776 of the family's 1533-position model. The record is from RNAcentral.